AUUAUUUGACAAUGGGGGCAACGCUGAUCCAGCCAUGCCGCGUGUGUGAAGAAGGUCUUCGGAUUGUUAAGCACUUUAUGUUGGGAGGAAGAGCAGUAAGUUAAUACACUGAAGAUUUGACGUUACCAACAGAAUAAGCACCGGCAAACUCUGCGCCAGCAGCCGCGGUAAUACAGAGGGUGCAAGCGUUAAUCGGAAUUACUGGGCGUAAAGCGCGCGUAGGUGGUUCAGUAAGAUGGGUGUGAAAUCCCCGGGCUUAACCUGGGAACUGCUUUCAUAACUGCUGAGCUAGAGUACGGUAGAGGGUAGUGGAAUUUCCUGUGUAGCGGUGAAAUGCGUAGAUAUAGGAAGGAACACCAGUGGCGAAGGCGACUACCUGGACUGAUACUGACACUGAGGUGCGAAAGCGUGGGGAGCAAAC
This 421-nucleotide ribosomal RNA is filed under the name uncultured bacterium. RNAcentral describes it as "partial 16S ribosomal RNA". It matches the Rfam family "Bacterial small subunit ribosomal RNA", at positions 359 to 773 of the family's 1533-position model. The record is from RNAcentral.